GACGAACGCUGGCGGCGUGCUUAACACAUGCAAGUCGAACGGAAAGGCCUCUUUCGGGGGGUACUCGAGUGGCGAACGGGUGAGUAACACGUGAGUAACCUGCCCUUGACUCUGGGAUAACUUCAGGAAACUGGGGCUAAUACCGGAUAGGAGCUCCUGCUGCAUGGUGGGGGUUGGAAAGUUUCGGCGGUUGGGGAUGGACUCGCGGCUUAUCAGCUUGUUGGUGGGGUAGUGGCUUACCAAGGCUUUGACGGGUAGCCGGCCUGAGAGGGUGACCGGCCACAUUGGGACUGAGAUACGGCCCAGACUCCUACGGGAGGCAGCAGUGGGGAAUAUUGCACAAUGGGUGGAAGCCUGAUGCAGCAACGCCGUGUGCGGGAUGACGGCCUUCGGGUUGUAAACCGCUUUCGCUCAUGACGAAGCUUUGUGUGACGGUAGUGGGUAAAGAAGCACCGGCUAACUACGUG
RNAcentral lists this ribosomal RNA (467 nucleotides) under uncultured bacterium. RNAcentral's name for it is "partial 16S ribosomal RNA". It matches the Rfam family "Bacterial small subunit ribosomal RNA", at positions 28 to 507 of the family's 1533-position model. The record is from RNAcentral.